CCUACGGGAGGCAGCAGUGGGGAAUAUUGCACAAUGGGGGAAACCCUGCUGCAGCGACGCCGCGUGAAGGACGAAGUAUUUCGGUACGUAAACUUCUAUCAGCAGGGAAGAAAAUGACGGUACCGGACCAAUAAGCCCCGGCUAACUACGUGCCAGCAGCAGCGGUAAUACGUAGGGGGCAAACGUUAUCCGGAUUUACUGGGGGUAAAGGGAGCGUAGACGGCCAUGCAAGUCUGAUGUGAAAACCCGGGGCUCCAUCCCGGGACUGCAUUGGAAACUGGGCGGCUGGAGGGUCGGAGAGGCAAGUGGAAUUCCUAGUGUAGCGGUGAAAUGCGUAGAUAUUAGGAGGAACACCAGUGGCGAAGGCGGCUUACUGGACUGUAACUGACGUUGAGGCUCGAAAGCGUGGGGAGCAAACAGGAUUAGAUACCCUUGUAGUC
RNAcentral lists this ribosomal RNA (440 nucleotides) under uncultured bacterium. RNAcentral describes it as "partial 16S ribosomal RNA". It matches the Rfam family "Bacterial small subunit ribosomal RNA", at positions 338 to 795 of the family's 1533-position model. The record is from RNAcentral.